AACUUAGGUCACCCACGUUAACUUAGGACGUUUCUGUUGACUAACUUUGGGCGUUCUAUUUAUUAAAAUUUGAAAGUCAUAAAUGCUGGGCUUAAAAGAAAAGAAUCUCUCAGAACCUGAAAUGAAAAUUUAGCAUUAUAUGACAGUUUUGAGAAAAAUGAUUCAGAGUUCUUUAAAAAUUAAACUUCCCAAAUGAUUCUAGAUUGAAUUAUAUUCUGAAUACCUAAUAUCUGCAGAUUACUGUUUUAGAUGCUAUAGAGACAAAAAGUAGGUAUAUUAGCCUUCUAAUCCUUAAAGAAUCUGUAGUCCAAUUGGGGAAGUAAGCACAAGGCAGGUGAAAAAGAGAAAUAAUAAAACAAAGCAGCAUACAAUAAAUUUCCAAAUGACUAAUGCCAAUAAUCAGAGAUAUGUGUGCAAUUAGAUAACAAUAACUGAGUUAGAGCCAUCUAGAAAGAAAUCGUACUUGAUGUGAGUCUUGCAGAAGGGAAUAAUUUGGAUAAAACAGGAGAAUAAUUGGUGUAUAAAGGAGAAAGAAGAGUGGAGCAAAAACAUAGGUGUAGAUAAGCUUCAGAGAAAUUUAGGAAGCAGGGAUCAGACUCCCCCGGCUGUAGCAGAGGAACCCUGGGAGGACAACGAGGACUUGGAGGGAAUGAAGGUUGAAGUGAGACAAACAAGAACAUGAAUGCAAAGCCAUGGAGUUCAGACCUCCUCCCACAGACAAACUUCUGUACAAGGGCUGAAGACAGGACAAGAUGUGCUGAUGUAUAAAAAGUCUAAAUCUGCAGCAUAAUCGUGAAGAGAUGAGGAAAGCCACGUACUCAGAGCCUCACUUAAAGGAAAUGAAACAGUAAAACUGAAUCAGAUUUGGCUCUUCACUUCUGCCUUCAGUGCUGUCCAGACUCAGACAUUAUAUCAUUCUAGAUCCUUCCAAAAAAGAGCCCGCAUAGCCAAGACAAUCCUCGGCAAGAAGAACAAAGCUGGAGGCAUCACACUACCUGACUUCAAACUAUACUACAAGGCUACAGUAACCAAAACAGCAUGGUACCUGUACCAAAACAGAUGUAUAGACCAAUGGAACAAAACAAAGGCCUCAGAAAUAACACCACACAUCUACAACCACCUGAUCUUUGACAAACCUGACAAAAACGAGCAAUGGGGAAAGGAUUCUCUAUUUAAUAAAUGGUGUUGGAAAAACCGGCUAGCCAUAUGCAGAAAACUGAAACUGGGCCCAUUCCUUACACCUUAUACAAAAAUCAACUGAAGAGAUCAAAGACUUAAACGUAAGACCUAGUACCAUAAAAAUCCUAGAAGAAAACCUGGGCAAUACCAUUCAGGACAUAGGCAUGGGCAAAGACUUCACAUCUAAAACACCAAAAUCAAUGGCAACAAAAGCCAAAAUUGACAAAUGAGAUCUAAUUAAACUAAAGAGUUUCUGCAUAUCAAAAGAAAC
RNAcentral lists this long non-coding RNA (1450 nucleotides) under Homo sapiens (human). RNAcentral's name for it is "non-protein coding lnc-RGS1-1:5". The record is from RNAcentral. Lineage: Eukaryota; Metazoa; Chordata; Mammalia; Primates; Hominidae.